RNAcentral lists this microRNA (21 nucleotides) under Medicago truncatula (barrel medic). Its description in RNAcentral is "mtr-miR5261". The record is from miRBase by way of RNAcentral. Lineage: Eukaryota; Viridiplantae; Streptophyta; Magnoliopsida; Fabales; Fabaceae.
UCAUUGUAGAUGGCUUUGGCU